RNAcentral lists this ribosomal RNA (791 nucleotides) under uncultured bacterium. Its description in RNAcentral is "bacterial SSU rRNA". It matches the Rfam family "Bacterial small subunit ribosomal RNA", at positions 55 to 802 of the family's 1533-position model. The record is from RNAcentral.
AUGCAAGUCGAACGCGUCUUGGUUAUUGAUGUUAAGUGCUUGCAUUUAACUGAUUUAACAUUGAGACGAGUGGCGAACUGGUGAGUAACACGUGGGUAACCUGCCCUUGAAGUAGGGGAUAACACUUGGAAACAGGUGCUAAUACCGUAUAACAACCAAAACCACCUGGUUUUGGUUUAAAAGAUGGCUUCGGCUAUCACUUUAGGAUGGACCCGCGGCGUAUUAGCUUGUUGGUAAGGUAACGGCCUACCAAGGCAAUGAUACGUAGCCGACCUGAGAGGGUAAUCGGCCACAUUGGGACUGAGACACGGCCCAAACUCCUACGGGAGGCAGCAGUAGGGAAUCUUCCACAAUGGACGAAAGUCUGAUGGAGCAACGCCGCGUGAGUGAUGAAGGGUUUCGGCUCGUAAAACUCUGUUGUUGGAGAAGAACAGGUGUGAGAGUAACUGUUCACAUCUUGACGGUAUCCAACCAGAAAGCCACGGCUAACUACGUGCCAGCAGCCGCGGUAAUACGUAGGUGGCAAGCGUUGUCCGGAUUUAUUGGGCGUAAAGCGAGCGCAGGCGGUUUCUUAGGUCUGAUGUGAAAGCCUUCGGCUUAACCGGAGAAGUGCAUCGGAAACCAGGAGACUUGAGUGCAGAAGAGGACAGUGGAACUCCAUGUGUAGCGGUGAAAUGCGUAGAUAUAUGGAAGAACACCAGUGGCGAAGGCGGCUGUCUGGUCUGUAACUGACGCUGAGGCUCGAAAGCAUGCGUAGCGAACAGGAUUAGAUACCCUGGUAGUCCAUGCCG